Molecule: ribosomal RNA, 245 nt
Filed under: uncultured bacterium
Lineage: Bacteria
Description: partial 16S ribosomal RNA
Rfam family: Bacterial small subunit ribosomal RNA
Source: RNAcentral
UACGGAGGAUGCGAGCGUUAUCCGGAUUUAUUGGGUUUAAAGGGUGCGUAGGCGGGUAUUUAAGUCAGUGGUGAAAGACUGUUGCUUAACGAUAGCAUUGCCAUUGAUACUGAAUAUCUUGAGUAUAGGUGAGGUAGGCGGAAUGUGUAGUGUAGCGGUGAAAUGCUUAGAUAUUACACAGAACACCGAUUGCGAAGGCAGCUUACUAAUCUAGAACUGACGCUGAGGCACGAAAGCGUGGGGAU